UAAAUUGUGGGCUGCACAAUUUAAAAUAAAAUACAAUGGGCUGUGAAUUAAACUAAUCUAAUUAAAUAUUUUCCCUGUUGAUUUGGUCCUCAAUCAACACUAAUUAAAUUUUUUUCUUAAAGAUUCUGUAAAGAUUAUCCUCCUCCGUGAUGAGAUUAUCCUCCUCCGUAAUCUGCAAAUAAAUUCCAAACAAAUCCAAAUUAAUCAAAAAUAUAUAUAAAAAAAUAUGAGGAAUUUGAAUCCUCCCCCUCAACCCACGUUAAAAAAAACGUUCUCUCUCUCCCCUAAAUCUCUCUCACAUCUAAACCAUCCCUCCCUCUAUAUUAUUUCCUUCCCAAAACCGUUCUCUCCUAUCUCUGCCAUCAAGAAGACAAGACUUUUCCUCUCAACUUUAAUUCAAGAAACCGUGAACCAAACUCGAAAAGACGGAGCUAUCGGUUGUUUUCUCAAGCUCUGUUCAAGGUGAAUCAUUGCAAGUGAAUCGUGAUACCAAAGGGAAGAGAGUACUUGAGAUUUAAGCAGUCGAGGUGAAUCAUUGCAAGUGAAUCGUGAUACCAAAGGGAAGAGAGUACUUGAGAUUUAAGCAGUCGAGAUUGAGCGGCGACGAGCAGUUGGUGGUGUUGAGCAAUUUAAAAUUGAAGCAU
Long non-coding RNA from Salvia splendens (bonfire salvia), 644 nucleotides. RefSeq lists it as uncharacterized. The record is from RefSeq and is a predicted model, not a curated record. Lineage: Eukaryota; Viridiplantae; Streptophyta; Magnoliopsida; Lamiales; Lamiaceae. The transcript has 5 exons.